GAACCCCUGUGAGGGGAGUGAAAUAGAACCUGAAACCGUGUACGUACAAGCAGUAGGAGCACCUUCGUGGUGUGACUGCGUACCUUUUGUAUAAUGGGUCAGCGACUUAUAUUCAGUGGCAAGGUUAACCGUAUAGGGGAGCCGUAGCGAAAGCGAGUCUUAACUGGGCGCUCAGUCUCUGGAUAUAGACCCGAAACCGGGUGAUCUAGCCAUGGGCAGGUUGAAGGUUGAGUAACAUCAACUGGAGGACCGAACCGACUAAUGUUGAAAAAUUAGCGGAUGACUUGUGGCUAGGGGUGAAAGGCCAAUCAAACUCGGAGAUAGCUGGUUCUCCCCGAAAGCUAUUUAGGUAGCGCCUCGGACGAAUACUACUGGGGGUAGAGCACUGUUAAGGCUAGGGGGUCAUCCCGACUUACCAACCCUUUGCAAACUCCGAAUACCAGUAAGUACUAUCCGGGAGACACACGGCGGGUGCUAACGUCCGUCGUGGAGAGGGAAACAACCCAGACCGCCAGCUAAGGUCCCAAAGUAUUGCUAAGUGGGAAACGAUGUGGGAAGGCUCAGACAGCUAGGAUGUUGGCUUAGAAGCAGCCAUCAUUUAAAGAAAGCGUAAUAGCUCACUAGUCGAGUCGGCCUGCGCGGAAGAUGUAACGGGGCUAAGCAAUACACCGAAGCUGCGGCAAUGUCUUUUAGACAUUGGGUAGGGGAGCGUUCUGUAAGCCGUUGAAGGUGAAUCGUAAGGUUUGCUGGAGGUAUCAGAAGUGCGAAUGCUGACAUGAGUAACGACAAAGGGGGUGAAAAACCUCCUCGCCGGAAGACCAAGGGUUCCUGUCCAACGUUAAUCGGGGCAGGGUGAGUCGACCCCUAAGGUGAGGCCGAAAGGCGUAAUCGAUGGGAAACGGGUUAAUAUUCCCGUACUUCUGACUAUUGCGAUGGGGGGACGGAGAAGGCUAGGUGGGCCAGGCGACGGUUGUCCUGGUUCAAGUGCGUAGGCUUGAGAGUUAGGUAAAUCCGGCUCUCUCUAAGGCUGAGACACGACGUCGAGCUACUACGGUAGUGAAGUCAUUGAUGCCAUGCUUCCAGGAAAAGCCUCUAAGCUUCAGAUAGUCAGGAAUCGUACCCCAAACCGACACAGGUGGUCGGGUAGAGAAUACCAAGGCGCUUGAGAGAACUCGGGUGAAGGAACUAGGCAAAAUGGUACCGUAACUUCGGGAGAAGGUACGCUCUUGAUGGUGAAGUCCCUCGCGGAUGGAGCUGACGAGAGUCGCAGAUACCAGGUGGCUGCAACUGUUUAUUAAAAACACAGCACUGUGCAAAAUCGCAAGAUGACGUAUACGGUGUGACGCCUGCCCGGUGCCGGAAGGUUAAUUGAUGGGGUUAGCGCAAGCGAAGCUCUUGAUCGAAGCCCCGGUAAACGGCGGCCGUAACUAUAACGGUCCUAAGGUAGCGAAAUUCCUUGUCGGGUAAGUUCCGACCUGCACGAAUGGCGUAAUGAUGGCCACGCUGUCUCCACCCGAGACUCAGUGAAAUUGAAAUCGCUGUGAAGAUGCAGUGUACCCGCGGCUAGACGGAAAGACCCCGUGAACCUUUACUACAGCUUGGCACUGAACAUUGAACCUACAUGUGUAGGAUAGGUGGGAGGCUAUGAAGACGUGACGCCAGUUGCGUUGGAGCCGUCCUUGAAAUACCACCCUUGUAUGU
Molecule: ribosomal RNA, 1701 nt
Filed under: Vibrio cholerae
Lineage: Bacteria; Pseudomonadati; Pseudomonadota; Gammaproteobacteria; Vibrionales; Vibrionaceae
Description: partial 23S ribosomal RNA
Rfam family: Bacterial large subunit ribosomal RNA
Source: RNAcentral